UAAGUUAAUCUAGCUUGAACUCGAACCUGGCCGAGCUCGGGCUCAGCUCUCGACUCGUUUGCACCCCUACUUCAAACUCAAAAGUCCUUUUAGGGACAAAUUUCCUAUUAAACCCUGCCAUUCCUCCGACCCAUUUGCAGCCUUCAUCAAUUAAACUCCCCCAUCUACCAGCUUCAUUAAUCACCCCCAUCUGCCGCCUUCAUCAAUUGACUCCCCCAUCUGAAUUCACGGCCUCCUCCUCUGGUGACUUGGAAUUCUUCUUAACACAGUUAGCUGAAGAAGAAGCAGGUUCAAGCAGUAGUAAGUAAGAUAACUGAGAUUACAUUCUCCAUAAUACAAGGGAUACUAACAACUGGAGAUGAGGAAUAUGGAAAGUUUCACAAACCAUAUGCUACUUCAAUUGUACAAUUUCUAAAGAUAGCAACAUGUGUUACGAGUGGCCUAGACUACUUUCAUAAUAAGAGAAUGGAAGACAUCGUUGUAGAUUGGUACAACCGUCAACCACAAGUACUUGCUGAUGCACGUAGGCAACAUACGGGUAAGUUAAAAACCAUAUCUAAUCGAGUUUUACACUCAACGGUCACACGGUCAUGAGCUGUCAGUUUUGGAUAUGGGUCAGUUAUAGCUCCAAACUUGCAGCAGAAGAAAUUCGAUACUAUUCUUAUUUACCUGGUUAAUUUGAAUUUAAUUAAUGUGUGAAUUGGUAAAGGGUUUGACCGAGUUUACUGAAGGCGCACUUGGUUAGGGGUGUUCUUCAGGUUUUUUUAUCGGGUUUUGGGUUUAUCGGGUUUUCAAAGGUGGAAAUAUAACCCGAUAAUCGAACUAGAUUCGAGUUUUAUGGUUCUCGGGAUUAUUGGGUCGGGUUCUUCGGAUUUUGGGCUAAGUAUAUUCUUUUUUUAACUGUAUGCGAAAGGGCUAAAUAAAUAUUACAAGGUUGUAUGUAUAUUUACAAUCGAUCACGAACUUUAGGGCUGCAUUUUUGCUGGUAGGGAUGCAAACGAGCCAAGUCGAGCCCGAACAUUAACUUACUCGAGCUUGGCUAGAUUCAAGCCUUGGAUUUUGGGGUCGAGCUCGGCCAAAAGCUCGAAUUAAGUAUGUGUUGUGCGAGCUUAAACAAGCUAAAGGCUCGAGCUCGUUUUUGCCGUUAAUGGCUUCUUUUUUUUACAUGCUUUCGUGUUUAUGAACUCUCAUUUUUAUUUUUAUUCUACUUAACUUUUUCUUGAUAUGAUAAUCGAGUCGACACAACUUCAUACGUUUUUAUUUACGUACUUACUCACGUCAUUGACACCGCCACAAUACGCUUUUGAAAAUUAUAUGUCAUAUUUUACUCAUUUUAAUAAUUUUAGUAUUUAUAGUUAAUUUCACACAUUUAGUUUUUCCCUCGUAACUUUUAAAAUAUAAUAUUUUUUUAUAAUCCGGUAUGAUAUUGUGACAUGUCUAUUUUUAUGUACCUAUUGGGAAAAAAAAAAUUAUUCAAAACGAGUAAGCCUAUGUUUCGACAUAAAUUUUAUUUGGGACCAAGUCCGGUUAGGUAGCAUGUGUUUUUGACUUCUUUUUUUACAUCCUUUCAUAUUUAUGAACUCUCAUUUUUAUUAGGACUUUACUUUUUCUUGAUAUGAUAUGAUAUUCAUAAUCGAGUCGACGCAAAUUUAUACGCUUUUAUUUACAUACUUAGUCUCGUCAUUUUCACCGCCACAACGACCGACACUUUUGAAAAUUACAUGCCAUUUUUUUACUCAUUUUAAUAAUUUUAGUAUUCUAAUAUUUAUAGUUAAUUUUACACACAUUUAGUUUUUCCCCAUAACUUUUAAAGUAUAAUAUUAUUUAUUCUAUAAUCGGGUAUGAUAUUGUGACAUGUCUGUUUUUAUGUACGUUUUGGAAAAAAAAUUCAAAAUGAGUUAGCCUAUGUUUCGACGUAAAUUUUAUUCGGGACCGAGUCCGGUAAGGUAACAUGUGAUUUUGACUACUUUUUUACAUGCUUUCGUAUGUAUGGACUCUCAUUUUUAUUACAACUUAACUUUCUCUUGAUAUGAUAUUCAUAAUCGAGUCGUCGCAACAUCAUACGCUUUUAUUUACAUACCUGAUCACGUCAUUGUCAUCGCUACAACGGCCGACACUUUUGAAAAUUAUAUGUUAUUUUUUACUUAUUUUAAUAAUUUUAGCAUUCUAAUAUUUAUAGUUAAUUUCACACACAUUUAGUUUUUCCCUUGUAACUUUUAAAAUAUAGUAUAUUUUUUUCUAUAAUCCGGUAUGAUAUUGUGGCAUGUCUAUUUUUAUGUACGUUUUGGGAAAAAUUAUUCAAAACGAGUUAGCCUAUGUUUCAACGUAAAUGUAUUCGGGACCAACUCCGGUUAGGUAGCAUGUGUUUUUUACGUCUUUUUUUACAUGCUUUCGUGUUUAUGAACUCUCAUUUUUAUUACGAUUUAACUUUUUCUUGAUAUAAUACUCGAGUCAUAAUCGAGUCUACGCAACUUCAUACGCUUUUAUUUACAUACUUAGUCACGCCAUUGUCACCCGCUACAACGACCGGUACUUUUGAAAAGUUAAACUUGAGUAGGCUGUGGUUUUUCAAGUUUUCCAUUAUGGUUAUUUAGUUUAUAUGGAUUCGUGUUUUCGUGUUUUUAAUGCUCAUUUUUACGACAAUUGACAUUUAUUUUAGAUUAAGUAAAAAAUCGGCUCGCUUUCCGCCGCGAAGCGCGGGUAUAACACUAGUUAAUAUAUAUUUAUAUGUUAUCAAGGUUUAAAAAAACGGAAUCGAGUUUCGAGACGUUUUCCCUUUGCCUCACGAGACGUAAGUCUCGAGGCGUAAUUAAAAAAUAAAUAUAAAAAUUAUAGAUCUUAUAAAAAAUAAAAUAAUACUUCAAAAUUCUAAUAAAUACUUCUAGAAUUCAUUGGGCCAAGUCAAAAUUUCUUUAUAGGAAUGAGCCCAAGUUUAAAGAAAGAGCCCAACUUUAUAAAAACUCACGUAUCUUCUUCAGAUUUGUUGUCAUCUAAAAACCUCUCCACCCUCCAUCCGAAACCCUAAUAGUUGAUAUAGCCGUCAUUUUGUAUGCUUUGUUUCUUCUUGAUCGUCCACGCUACAUGUCCAUAUGUUGUGGUUCUUCUUCCCGCACCUGCUAAGCAUCAUUUGUUGUUACAGCCGUUACCUCCAAUGGACAAAACCCUAAUUCUCCGGUUACCAUCAGAAAUGUACGCCUCUUCAUAAACGACCGCAUGCGUACGUAUAAUAAUAGCUAGCGAGGCGCCGCCUCAAAAACGAUUUCUUCCCGUUUCGCCUCCUCGAACGUUUUUUAAACCAUGUAUCUUAUGAAUCGGUGUUAGAUUAUCCUAUACUAAAAUAUAUUUUGUUGUGGAGAUUCGUGCUGGCCGUAUGCCACUAUCGCUUCUAUUGAAGCGAUGAACCAAAUUUUGAAUCCUUCGCAAGAGUUUACUCUACUGAGUAUCCAACAACUCGUGGACUAUUAUAACGAAUACAAAGAUGACUUUACAAGUUGGGGUGGAGCAAGACGUGCCUUUGGGAGCAUUCAUAGGAGCGGGGAGGAGUAUAUAGUGAGAGGGAUUAUCAGAAUAGGGGUGACCAUAUCAGUAGGGAACCUUAUGCAAUGGAGAUGUUAGUAAAAAUUGAUUUUCAUUUUAGUUGAAUAAAUAAUUUUGUUUGUUGGCAGUUAAACUCAACAGUAGUGAUUUACUCUUUCAACAAAGUUGGCCACAACGAGAGAGCCAUUGCAGAAGUGGUAAGGCGACAACCCGUGACCGCUGUUGUGGGGUCUCUACCAUUGAGAGAGAUUUUAUACACCGGGUCGAAUAAUCCGUUAUUCCGAAGCCGAUUGUGACACUCGUUUGGAUCAUACUAUUUUGAUUGUCGGAUUCAGAAAAAAAAAAAAAAAAAAGACGGAUUGGACUAUUGGAGAUGUCUUAAUUUCUGGGGUGCAACUUUUGGUGGCGAUGACACCUUUUACUUGGAGAGGAAUACGAAUCAUCCCCGUCGCAAUGAAAUUUUGAAGCGAUGAACCAAAUUUUGAAUCCUUCGCAAGAGUUUACUCCACUAAGUAUCCAACAACUCGUGGACUGUUAUAAUGAAUACAAAGAUGACUUUACAAGUAGGGGUGGAGCAAGACGUGCCUUUGGGAGCAUUCAUAGGAGCGGGGGAAGAGUAUAUAGUGAGAGGGAUUAUCAGAAUAGGGGUGACCAUAUCAGUAGGGGACCUUGUGCAAUGGAGAUGUUAGUAAAAAUUGAUUUUCAUUUUAGUUGAAUAAAUAAUUUUGUUUGUUGGCAGUUAAACCCAACGGUAGUUCUUUCAACAAAGUUGGCCACAACGAGAGAGCCAUUGCAGAAGUGAUAAGGCGACAGCCCGUGACCGCUGUUGUGGGGUCUUUUACCAUUGAGAGAGAGAUUUUAUACACCGGGUCGAAUAAUCCGUUAUUCCGAAGCGGAUGGAGACACUCGUUUGGAUCAUACUGUUUUGAUCGUCGGAUUCGGAAAAAAAGACGGGUUGGACUAUUGGAGAUGUCUUAAUUUCUGGGGUGCAACUUUUGGUGGCGAUGGCACCUUUUACUUGGAGAGGAAUACGAAUCAUCCCUGUCGCAACGAAACAGCAGGCAUCGCUAGACUAUGUUGUUAGCCGAUGAAAGAAGGUUUUAACAUGUGACUGUUGCUAUUUUUGAACUUCUUUUGAAACUAGAUUAAAUGAUGCUUUUUGAGCUUUUUUAGAACUUUUGAAUUACAACUACCAAUGCCUUUUGAGCUCUUUUAGAACUUGUUUUGAACUACUCAUGCUAUUUGAUUGUGUUUUGGAC
This is an RNA transcript of Helianthus annuus (common sunflower), 4796 nucleotides long. RefSeq lists it as uncharacterized. Lineage: Eukaryota; Viridiplantae; Streptophyta; Magnoliopsida; Asterales; Asteraceae. The record is from RefSeq and is a predicted model, not a curated record. The transcript is spliced from 6 exons.